UUGGCUUCUCGGCCUUUUGGCUAAGAUCAAGUGUAAUAUCUGUUUGAUGUUCAGUAACAUAUUCUGAGCCUUACAGAUGUCUGAGUUUGAAGGUUAGCUGGUGUACUCUUA
RNAcentral lists this small nuclear RNA (111 nucleotides) under Phasianus colchicus (ring-necked pheasant). RNAcentral describes it as "U2 spliceosomal RNA (ENSPCLG00000019129.1)". It matches the Rfam family "U2 spliceosomal RNA". From Rfam's summary of the family: U2 is a small nuclear RNA (snRNA) component of the spliceosome (involved in pre-mRNA splicing). Lineage: Eukaryota; Metazoa; Chordata; Aves; Galliformes; Phasianidae. The record is from Rfam by way of RNAcentral.